UUUGUGGAGAGUUUGAUCCUGGCUCAGGACGAACGCUGGCGGCAUGCCUAACACAUGCAAGUCGAACGGAGCACGGAUACUUCGGUGGAAGUGCUUAGUGGCGGACGGGUGAGUAACGCGUGGAUAACCUGCCUGAGAGUGGGGGAUAACAGCCCGAAAGGGCUGCUAAUACCGCAUAACGUUGUCUGGGGACAUCCCCGGACAACCAAAGGAGCAAUCCGCUCUUGGAUGGGUCCGCGUCCGAUUAGCUAGUUGGUGAGGUAAUAGCUCACCAAGGCGACGAUCGGUAGCCGGCCUGAGAGGGUGAACGGCCACACUGGGACUGAGACACGGCCCAGACUC
Molecule: ribosomal RNA, 342 nt
Filed under: Heliobacterium chlorum
Lineage: Bacteria; Bacillati; Bacillota; Clostridia; Eubacteriales; Heliobacteriaceae
Description: bacterial SSU rRNA
Rfam family: Bacterial small subunit ribosomal RNA
Source: RNAcentral